RNAcentral lists this ribosomal RNA (869 nucleotides) under Bacillus tequilensis. Its description in RNAcentral is "bacterial SSU rRNA". It matches the Rfam family "Bacterial small subunit ribosomal RNA", at positions 70 to 922 of the family's 1533-position model. The record is from RNAcentral. Lineage: Bacteria; Bacillati; Bacillota; Bacilli; Caryophanales; Bacillaceae.
AGAUGGGAGCUUGCUCCCUGAUGUUAGCGGCGGACGGGUGAGUAACACGUGGGUAACCUGCCUGUAAGACUGGGAUAACUCCGGGAAACCGGGGCUAAUACCGGAUGGUUGUUUGAACCGCAUGGUUCAAACAUAAAAGGUGGCUUCGGCUACCACUUACAGAUGGACCCGCGGCGCAUUAGCUAGUUGGUGAGGUAACGGCUCACCAAGGCAACGAUGCGUAGCCGACCUGAGAGGGUGAUCGGCCACACUGGGACUGAGACACGGCCCAGACUCCUACGGGAGGCAGCAGUAGGGAAUCUUCCGCAAUGGACGAAAGUCUGACGGAGCAACGCCGCGUGAGUGAUGAAGGUUUUCGGAUCGUAAAGCUCUGUUGUUAGGGAAGAACAAGUACCGUUCGAAUAGGGCGGUACCUUGACGGUACCUAACCAGAAAGCCACGGCUAACUACGUGCCAGCAGCCGCGGUAAUACGUAGGUGGCAAGCGUUGUCCGGAAUUAUUGGGCGUAAAGGGCUCGCAGGCGGUUUCUUAAGUCUGAUGUGAAAGCCCCCGGCUCAACCGGGGAGGGUCAUUGGAAACUGGGGAACUUGAGUGCAGAAGAGGAGAGUGGAAUUCCACGUGUAGCGGUGAAAUGCGUAGAGAUGUGGAGGAACACCAGUGGCGAAGGCGACUCUCUGGUCUGUAACUGACGCUGAGGAGCGAAAGCGUGGGGAGCGAACAGGAUUAGAUACCCUGGUAGUCCACGCCGUAAACGAUGAGUGCUAAGUGUUAGGGGGUUUCCGCCCCUUAGUGCUGCAGCUAACGCAUUAAGCACUCCGCCUGGGGAGUACGGUCGCAAGACUGAAACUCAAAGGAAUUGACGGGGGCCC